Molecule: long non-coding RNA, 1404 nt
Filed under: Homo sapiens (human)
Lineage: Eukaryota; Metazoa; Chordata; Mammalia; Primates; Hominidae
Description: lymphatic endothelial transcriptional regulator lncRNA 1
Source: RNAcentral
CUUGUGAGCCACUGCGUUCUCCAAGGCCAGAACGGGACAGUUGACGAUGGUCGUACUUCUCCAUGUUCUGAGACCAGUUUAAACAAAAACAAAAACCAGACAACAACCUUGCAAGGGAAAGAAUUCAGAGUAAAUAAACAGUCUUUUUCUGGGAAGUAAAAUAUUUCCCUAAGAUGGAGAAAUUGAGAUGAGAGCUCAUCCACAAGAUUACCCAUCAAUGAGCACCAAUAGCAACCAAAUCCACUAGAAGACUGGGAGCUUUUAAGUCAAGAAACUUACAUCAGUAUCAUCAUUCCAAGAAGCGGUAUCCAAGCUGUUUUAUCGAAAGUGCGCAUGGGAGGUUUGAACUCAGUGCUGUUGUGCAGUUGUAUGAACAAGGAAAUUAAAUGUGAAAAAUGGCCAAUCUGUCUAUCCUCUGGGUUCCCUCAACAACGCGGCCUCAUGAAGUACCUGCUGCCAUAUUGACCUCAGUACACACACAGAAGAGCCAAGGGAAUUGCUUCUUUGGGGACUGGAGAUAAGACUCUGAGAAUUUAUAGAAACAAACAUUAGAAGGCAGGAAUGUGGAGAGAAGAAAGCUACCUGACAAGGGAAUCUCAGGAUACAAGGAAAACACCAAGGAUGUGAGAAUGUCUUCGCUGCAUUAUUAUUUUUCAGCAUUGCCUCUGCUGACUUCAUGGGAGGAAUGGUGUUUCUUCUUCUCUCCCAUGUCAUGGAAGACACUCCUGAUGGCAUGUCUGUAGGUCUGUAGGAAAGAAUAAUCACCUCAGUAGCUUAGUGUGUGUAUGUGUGUGUGUGUGUCUGACACACUGUAGGUACAUAAUAAAGAUUUGAAAAUAUGAGUUUUUUUUAAUCCAAGCAGUGCCAUGUGUUUACUUGGAUUAGUAAUUGUACCAAUCUACAUUUUAAAGGUAAAACUAGCCAUUCAUUCUUUUGUUUCAGCAGUUGCCUAAUUUUAUUGUUUAAGUAUAAUGUGAGUGAAGGAAACUUCCUAGUUAGAAAUCUAUGAAUAUUAACUUCUUGUCUUCACUAACCAGAGUUGUUCUCAACUCAUAACACGUGGUUUGGUAAACCAUUUGCAAUGUAAACAUAGCAGAUUUUACUUGUAGUUUCAUAAUUUAGGCAGGUUGGCUCUGUAUUAUUUCUAGAAUCACAGGUAUCUGGAUGAAGAAUCACCAUUUUGUCAUUAGAGAUUACAACAAAUGUAGUUUAUUCUUUUUACCGGUAAUAUCAAUGUAAGCAAAAAUUAUACUUUUUAGCUAAGCAUGUUAUCUUCCCAGACUGGAGGAGUUAUUAUCUUCCAUAUUUUCUCUAUCUUCCACUAUACAAAGGGAAAAUAGAUUGGAAUUGUACUGGCCAUUGCUUUGUAAAGAGAAUAUAAAUAGCAAUAAAACAUAAAGAAAA